This 540-nucleotide long non-coding RNA is filed under the name Triticum aestivum (bread wheat). RNAcentral's name for it is "long non-coding RNA (TAES_LNC002408)". The record is from RNAcentral. Lineage: Eukaryota; Viridiplantae; Streptophyta; Magnoliopsida; Poales; Poaceae.
GCAUGAGGCGGAGUUGCAGAGCUGCCUUCCUGGGUCGUCCGCUUGGUGUGGGUGCCCGCCUCAGACUACUUGUUUUUCCCUUACCAUUGAUGAUAUUUCUCCCGACGACCGCGGCGAAACCAUCGAUCUGCCAAGACAAACAUAAACUGGUAAUCUGAACUUCGUACCAAUUACUCACUUAUAAACACAAUGUACCAGAUGGCAAUGGCAGGUCAUAACUGCGAUUUAUAUUACGUUUAGACUAAAAGGACAUGCAACUUUGUUUUCAUCAAGGAACUGAACGAUGUCAAUUCCAGACCGCACAUUUCUUCGGUUCAAGAACAACUAACACCAAGGGAGUUCAGCAAAGAUUCUACAUAACAUUAUCAAAAGAUUAGUCCUAGCUUUUUCAAGCGGAACAAAUACGAAUAUUGUAGGAAAAAGGUUCAGUAACAAAAGGAGAUUGUAUUUUACCUUGGAAAAUUGGGAUCCUGUAUGAGCAUAAACUGCGUUGAACGGAUCAUGGAACAAAUAGUUGUCAGCAUACCGAUACAAUGCUCG